RNAcentral lists this RNase P RNA (398 nucleotides) under Candidatus Magasanikbacteria bacterium RIFOXYB2_FULL_38_10. Its description in RNAcentral is "RNase P RNA component class A". It matches the Rfam family "Bacterial RNase P class A". Rfam says of the family: Ribonuclease P (RNase P) is a ubiquitous endoribonuclease, found in archaea, bacteria and eukarya as well as chloroplasts and mitochondria. Its best characterised activity is the generation of mature 5'-ends of tRNAs by cleaving the 5'-leader elements of precursor-tRNAs. The record is from RNAcentral. Lineage: Bacteria; Candidatus Magasanikiibacteriota.
UAAAUUAAGUGGACGGCCGCCCUGUAAAAAGGGAGGAAAGUCCGAACACCCGCGUGUAAACGCGUCGUGGUACCACCUAACGGGUGGGCAAUUUGGCGGGAUAACCCAAGGCAACUUGGAAUAAACUCGCCUGACGGAUCAGUGCCACAGAGACAAUACUAACUGCCACAAGGCAGUGAAAGGUGAAAAGUGAGGCGGUGUGUCGUGGUUUAAACUCUAAAGGUUUAAACAACGUCUCUGCUACGCCUCUUACGCCAAGGCAACUUGGCGCGGUGGAAAACCCUACCUGGUGCAACUUCAUAUUCGAAAGCUUGAGCUUGGCAGUGAUGCCUAGCCCAGAGAGAUGGCCGUUACCCCGCAAGGGGGGACAAAAUUCGGCUUACAGCUUAGUUUAGCAA